RNAcentral lists this transfer RNA (58 nucleotides) under Stygobromus indentatus. Its description in RNAcentral is "tRNA-Cys". The record is from RNAcentral. Lineage: Eukaryota; Metazoa; Arthropoda; Malacostraca; Amphipoda; Crangonyctidae.
UAGUUCAUGGUGUAGUAAACAUAAUAGAUUGCAAAUCUUUAGAGAAAUUUUGUGCUAA